Molecule: long non-coding RNA, 398 nt
Filed under: Parus major (Great Tit)
Lineage: Eukaryota; Metazoa; Chordata; Aves; Passeriformes; Paridae
Description: lncRNA (ENSPMJG00000011328.1)
Source: RNAcentral
UUCCCCCUGAAGUUAGCCAGUGGCAAUACUUUCAUUAACUUUGGGGAGAGCCAGAUUUUAUUUGCCUGCCUGUAGUGCUUCUCUGUGCCUUAUAGUGGGCUUCAAAGGGUAACAAUCAAUUGUGGAGGACAUUUGCAGCUGAGUCACUUCUAGCAAGGGCAAAAGGUAAGGUAAACAGAAGAAGAGAUCCUUAUAUCUGUAUAAGCUCUUCAAAAGUGAUUCCUGAAAUCAGCCUGGGAAACAGCACCCUUUCCCGGCACAGAAGCAAGCAGGGACAGAAAGGACAGAAAGUUCAGUCCUCUGCAAGGCUGUAAUCCUGUCCUGCUUCUUCCCAUCUUCUUAUCUCAUCCCCUGGUUCCCCCAAAGCCUCUCCAAUAAACCUUCUACACUGGGACUCA